RNAcentral lists this ribosomal RNA (621 nucleotides) under Trichoderma asperellum. RNAcentral describes it as "eukaryotic LSU rRNA". The stretch from base 205 to 358 matches the Rfam family "5.8S ribosomal RNA". The record is from RNAcentral. Lineage: Eukaryota; Fungi; Ascomycota; Sordariomycetes; Hypocreales; Hypocreaceae.
UGGUGACGCGGAGGGACUUACCGAGUUUACAACUCCCAAACCCAAUGUGAACGUUACCAAACUGUUGCCUCGGCGGGGUCACGCCCCGGGUGCGUCGCAGCCCCGGAACCAGGCGCCCGCCGGAGGAACCAACCAAACUCUUUCUGUAGUCCCCUCGCGGACGUAUUUCUUUACAGCUCUGAGCAAAAAUUCAAAAUGAAUCAAAACUUUCAACAACGGAUCUCUUGGUUCUGGCAUCGAUGAAGAACGCAGCGAAAUGCGAUAAGUAAUGUGAAUUGCAGAAUUCAGUGAAUCAUCGAAUCUUUGAACGCACAUUGCGCCCGCCAGUAUUCUGGCGGGCAUGCCUGUCCGAGCGUCAUUUCAACCCUCGAACCCCUCCGGGGGAUCGGCGUUGGGGAUCGGGACCCCUCACACGGGUGCCGGCCCCUAAAUACAGUGGCGGUCUCGCCGCAGCCUCUCCUGCGCAGUAGUUUGCACAACUCGCACCGGGAGCGCGGCGCGUCCACGUCCGUAAAACACCCAACUUUCUGAAAUGUUGACCUCGGAUCAGGUAGGAAUACCCGCUGAACUUAAGCAUAUCAAAAAGCGGAGGAAUCAAUAAAUCGAAGGAUUUUUUUUUUA